Long non-coding RNA from Lutra lutra (Eurasian river otter), 1059 nucleotides. RefSeq lists it as uncharacterized. The transcript is spliced from 2 exons. The record is from RefSeq and is a predicted model, not a curated record. Lineage: Eukaryota; Metazoa; Chordata; Mammalia; Carnivora; Mustelidae.
UGUUUACCACUUCCACUUUUGGAAAGUCUGGUUAUUUUCAGUUUUCAGUAUAUAAUUAAUGGUUUGAAUUCUUAGUGCACUGAAAUAUGUUCAUCUUUGAGAUGAGUGAUUUCCCUGAAAUAGAACUGCUGGGUUGAAGAGUUUUUAAAAAUGGAUUGUAUGUAGUUUGGGGCUGAAGAUUUUGCAAGGUCACGGGACAUACUCCUGUACUGCUUUUUGAAAGAGCACAGACUAGUAACAGCCAGUGAUGAGCUCCUCGUAAAGGCUCGUCUAGUCUCACUGUGGCGGCUUUUAACAGCAUAAGCAUGAAAUUAAAAAAGAACGUGUUUCUUCAUAUCACCGUGACUGUUGUAACAAAGAUUUUUCAUUUUCAGGCUUAAAGUUUUAUAAUUUUAAUAUUUGAAAUUAUGUAAAGUUAGAUGAGUAAAACAACUACCUGAAUUGUCGCAAAACAUUUAGGCUGUCCGGUGCCCACUGUGACUCUCACAUGGGUUCCUCGGGGACCGAUGAGCCACGCCUCCACCCUGGGAUUGCACAGAGGCCUUCCUCCUCCGGCACCUUCCCCUUCUGAUCUUUGAGGAGGGCCCCAGUAACCAGCCCCUCUGAGCGUGUCCUUCAGGGCCACCUUCCUGCUCGUGGCAUUAGAUAAAGCAGACCAGCCGAUUUUUGCUGAGAACCGCUCUGAGAGGCCAAGACUGCCCGUGCUCUUUCCUUGGCCCUGUUUUGAGCUUCUUGAAGCCGCACCUCAGCCUUGCCUAGCCGACUCUUCUCGCUGCGGCGCUCCGUGCGUGUCUGCGAGUCAGGGCCGAGUUCACCGUGAAGGUCACGUAUGUCCGUGCACUUGAGUUGCAUGGUGAACUCCAUUUCUGCGUGGGGCUGGUGCUCCCUGCGUGGUCACUCUGGCCUGCUUGUCCAGAGGGUCGUCCAGAGAACAGAUGCUGGUCCUGUAAUUUCUAUGCGGGCGUGGAGCGUGUUUCUGGUUCUCUGGCAUGCAUUUUUUUCUUAGUGUUCUUCAGGAUUCCUUGUUUGAUUUCAUGCAGAGCCCCUCAAUUUCCCUGA